UACGUAGGGGGCAAGCGUUAUCCGGAUUUACUGGGCAUAAAGGGCGCGUAGGUGGUGCUUUAAGUCGGAUGUUAAAUCUCCCAGCCUAACUGGGACCCGCAUUCGAUACUGGAGCACUAGAGUACAGGAGAGGAAAGCGGAACUCACGGUGUAGCGGUGAAAUGCGUAGAUAUCGUGGGGAACACCAGUUGCGAAGGCGGCUUUCUGGACUGUUACUGACACUGAGGCGCGAAAGCAUGGGGAGCAAACAGG
This 252-nucleotide ribosomal RNA is filed under the name uncultured bacterium. RNAcentral's name for it is "partial 16S ribosomal RNA". It matches the Rfam family "Bacterial small subunit ribosomal RNA", at positions 524 to 776 of the family's 1533-position model. The record is from RNAcentral.